This 416-nucleotide ribosomal RNA is filed under the name Paramoera erimoensis. RNAcentral's name for it is "partial 16S ribosomal RNA". The record is from RNAcentral. Lineage: Eukaryota; Metazoa; Arthropoda; Malacostraca; Amphipoda; Pontogeneiidae.
GUAGCAAAAUAAUUUGUUUUUUAAUUGGUAACGGGUAUGAAUGGUUAAACAAGUACUUUUAUUUUUAUGCAGAUUAAUUAAAUUCUAAUUUAAGUAAGAAUACUUAAAUGAGUAAAAGGGACGAUAAGACCCUAAAAUCUUUAUUUUUAUAUUUUUAAAAUGAGUAUAGUUUAUAAUAAAAUUAAUUAAUAAUUUGGUUGGGGCAGUCAUUUUAAUAAAAUUAAAAUUUUAUCUGCUGAAUAAAAGGAUUUUGGUCUUUUAUAUAAGGAUAGUUAGUUUAAGUUACUUUAGGGAUAACAGCGUAAUAUUUUCAGAAAGGUCUUAUUAAUGAAAAUGAUUGUGACCUCGAUGUUGAAUUAAAAAAUCUUUAUGAGGCAUAAUGUGUAGGAGAAAGUUUGUUCAACUUUUAAAAUUUU